UACGUAGGGUGCAAGCGUUGUCCGGAAUUAUUGGGCGUAAAGGGCUCGUAGGCGGUCCAUCGCGUCGGGAGUGAAAAGCUGGGGCUUAACCCCAGUCCUGCUUCCGAUACGGGUGGACUAGAGGUAGGUAGGGGAGAACGGAAUUCCAGGUGUAGCGGUGAAAUGCGUAGAUAUCGGGAGGAACACCAGUGGCGAAGGCGACUUCUUGGCCUGUUCUUGACGCUGAGGCGCGAAAGCUGGGGGAGCAAACGGG
Molecule: ribosomal RNA, 253 nt
Filed under: uncultured bacterium
Lineage: Bacteria
Description: partial 16S ribosomal RNA
Rfam family: Bacterial small subunit ribosomal RNA
Source: RNAcentral